GAUUUAAAUGUUCAAUUGGCAAGGUAAAAUUAUGAGGAUUAGCAAUCUUAAUUUCACUUUAUUCGAUUUACUUUUUUGUUAAAAGUGAAAUACAUCGGCACGCUUUCACUGCAAACAGUCUAUAAGCAUGUUGAGCCUGAGUUCAA
Haliotis rubra (blacklip abalone) is the source of this 146-nucleotide long non-coding RNA. RefSeq lists it as uncharacterized. The record is from RefSeq and is a predicted model, not a curated record. The transcript has 3 exons. NCBI's taxonomy places the organism in Eukaryota, Metazoa, Mollusca, Gastropoda, Lepetellida, Haliotidae.